Molecule: unclassified non-coding RNA, 307 nt
Filed under: air metagenome
Description: partial contains small subunit ribosomal RNA, internal transcribed spacer 1, and 5.8S ribosomal RNA
Rfam family: Eukaryotic small subunit ribosomal RNA (bases 1-46)
Source: RNAcentral
AAGUCGUAACAAGGUUUCCGUAGGUGAACCUGCGGAAGGAUCAUUAUUGAAUAAACUUGGUCAGGUUGUUGCUGGCUCUUAGGAGCAUGUGCACACCUGAUUCAUUUUUAACCACCUGUGCACUCUUUGUAGACCUGAAUAACUCUCGAGGGGACUCGGUUUUAGAAUUGCUGUGUGUAAACACUGCUUUUCUUGCAUAUUCUGGUCUAUGUUUCUACAUACUCCAUUUGAAUGUAAUAGAAUGUUGUCAUAGGACUUUGUGCCUUUAAAACAAAUACAACUUUCAACAACGGAUCUCUUGGCUCUC